CGAUGGCUACCCCCACCCAAUGGUUCUGUGAAGAUUAAUGUCGAUGCUGCUAUGGUAAGAUCACAACAUGGAGGAGCCAUCGCGGCAUUCUACAGAGAUCAAACGGGCCAAUACUUGGGAUCUUCGGUUGUGGUCUUUCGAGGCAUCAAUGACCCUCUAAUUCUAGAGACUUUUGCAUGUCGUGAAGCGUUAUCACUAGCAGAUGAUCUCGUCGUCCAAAAUAUUUGUGUAGCAUCGGAUUGCCAAGAAGUGGUUAAUGAUAUUACCAAGGGUACGGGAGGUCCAAACGCGACCAUAGUACAUGAAAUUUUAAGCUGUUGUAAUAGUUUCAAUUCCAGUUCCUUUAUUUUUGAGCAUAGGAACUUUAAUUUUGAGGCUCAUAAUAUUGCCAAGUUUGCUUGUAACCUAGGCGUAGGUAGAUGA
This 423-nucleotide ribosomal RNA is filed under the name Triticum aestivum (bread wheat). Its description in RNAcentral is "partial small subunit ribosomal RNA". Lineage: Eukaryota; Viridiplantae; Streptophyta; Magnoliopsida; Poales; Poaceae. The record is from RNAcentral.